This is a long non-coding RNA of Physella acuta, 455 nucleotides long. RefSeq lists it as uncharacterized. The record is from RefSeq and is a predicted model, not a curated record. Lineage: Eukaryota; Metazoa; Mollusca; Gastropoda; Physidae.
AUCUGGUACACCAACAGAAGCACCAACAGAAGCACCAGCACCGACAGAAGCACCAGCACCGACAGAAGCACCAGCACCAACAGAAGCACCAGCACCGACAGAAGCACCAAAAGAAGAUACAUCAGCUGGAGCAACGAGAAAACCCAACAACUGCCUGGGACAACAAAUUGACGAGCAAACAGGACAUUGUAGGAGAGGUUGUCUGGCCACAUUUUGGAAGGAGGACUGUAAAACUGCGUGUGGCUAUUGUGCUGGUAUUGGGUCAUGUGAUCAAAGGACAGGCUACUGCACAAGUGGCUGUAAGGACGGGUAUGAAGGUUCGGAUUGUAACAACGAGACCGGCAUACCAUGGGGUGAUGUACUCAUCGUCUUAUCAGUGUUGGCGGCCAUUUUACUUGUCGUUUUCGUCGUCUAUCGCGUCUUCUUCAAAAAGGCCUACUCUAUGGAUAUAUAUA